UGGUAUUUCCUUCACCUUCGGCAAG
This 25-nucleotide non-coding RNA is filed under the name Mus musculus (house mouse). Lineage: Eukaryota; Metazoa; Chordata; Mammalia; Rodentia; Muridae. The record is from RNAcentral.